AUGCCGACGCGGAGGCUCCUCCGCAUCCUCCCGCUUCUCCUGGCGCUGCUGCUCGCCGGCUCGCCAGACGGCGCGGCCGCGGCGGGCGGCGGCAACGGGACGUGCCCGCUGGACCUGAGCUACGUGCCCACGUUCCCGUGGGACCCCGCGCCGUGCGCGGGGGCCGCGCCCAACAUGACGGCCUGCUGCCAGACGCUGCUCUCCGUGCUCGCCAUCGGCCUCGCCGGCCGGCUCCGCGCCACGGGCCAGUUCCGCGUCCCGUCCGCGGCGGCCUCCGCCGCCUGCAUCGCCGACUUCGCGGAGGCGGUCGCGUCGGCGCCGGCCUCGCUCCCGGGCGCCUCGCUCGUGCCGUCCUGCUUCCCGUCGCCGGACGAGUUCGCCGUCUCCCCGUCCUUCUGCGCCGGCGUCACCACCGCGGCCGAGUACAGGGCCGUCGUCGGGAACGCCUCCGUCGCGGGCCUGGACGCCGCCUGCGGCCCCGACCUCUCGUCCUUGCCGAUCUGCGACCGCUGCCAGACCGCCGGCAUCGUCGCCACCUCCCCCCUCAUCGCCGCCAGCGCCAACGCCACGACCGAGUCGCAGCAGAACUGCUUCUACCUCACCGUCAUGUACGCCGCCGGCAUCUCCAGCGCCGAGGGACCCACCUCCCCCACCGCCGCCCAUUGCAUCCUCGGCCUCGGCCUGUCCACCCCUCCCUCCCAGCGCUCCAAGUCCAACAACGCAGCCAUCUACGCCACCACCAUCCCAAUCGCCUUCAUCCUCCUCCUGUCAGUCCUCGCAUUCUUUGUAUGGAGAAAGACAAGGCACGCCAAGAACAAGAAGAGGAACCACACGAUCCCUGAGGAGGGGUCGGAGGACCGGCGUCCGCACCUGAGGCCCAACACCGGGUCAAUACAGUUCGACAUUGCCGAGUUGUCCAAGGGGACGGACAACUUCGCGGAUCGAAACCUCAUCGGCCGCGGUGGGUUCGGAGUUGUCUACCGUGGCGUGCUCGCCGAUGGGUCUGUGGUUGCCGUCAAGAAGAUGCUCAACCCAGAAAUGGACGGCGGUGACGAGGAGUUCACCAACGAGGUGGAGAUCAUCAGCCACCUCCGGCACCGAAACCUGGUGCCGCUGCGUGGCUGUUGCAUUGUCGAUGACGACAUAGAGGAUGGGAAGCAGAUGUUCCUCGUGUACGACUUUAUGCCCAAUGGAUCGCUCGAGGAGUUCAUCUUCCGGGACAGAGUAGGAAGCAGCAAGCGGGCGGCAUUGACAUGGGCACAACGUCGCAACAUAAUAAUGGAUGUGGCAAAAGGACUGGAAUAUCUGCAUUAUGGUGUCAAGCCUGCGAUCUAUCACAGGGACAUCAAGGCGACCAACAUAUUGCUCGACAAUGAGAUGCGGGCACGCGUGGCGGAUUUCGGGCUAGCCAGGAGGAGCCGAGAAGGGCAGUCUCACCUCACGACGCGGGUUGCCGGCACACAUGGCUACCUGGCGCCCGAGUACGCGCUCUAUGGACAAUUGACAGAGAAGAGUGACGUCUAUAGCUUCGGCGUUCUGGUGCUUGAGAUAUUGAGUGGGCGGCAUGUGCUUGACAUGACGGCUUCGAAUGGGCCAGUGCUGAUCACCGACUGGGCGUGGACGCUCAUCAAGGCUGGCCAGUCAAGGGAGGUGCUCGACGAUGCAUUGUCGACGUGCGAGAGCCCAAGAGGUGAGGCCAUCGAAAGGUUUGUUCUUGUUGGAAUCCUGUGCGCUCAUGUGAUGGUUGCGCUCCGACCGACCAUCACCGAGGCGGUGAAGAUGCUUGAGGGAGACAUGGACAUACCAGAGAUACCAGAUCGGCCGCUGCCAUUUGGGCACAACUUUUUGAUGUUCAGCGAAGCUGGGAGCAACUUCAGCGCUUCCCCGGCUAUCAGUGGGCCUUUAAUGGAUAAUGGGGACAUGCUUAGGUGA
This 1932-nucleotide ribosomal RNA is filed under the name Triticum aestivum (bread wheat). RNAcentral describes it as "partial small subunit ribosomal RNA". Lineage: Eukaryota; Viridiplantae; Streptophyta; Magnoliopsida; Poales; Poaceae. The record is from RNAcentral.